RNAcentral lists this ribosomal RNA (726 nucleotides) under Fictibacillus barbaricus. Its description in RNAcentral is "bacterial SSU rRNA". It matches the Rfam family "Bacterial small subunit ribosomal RNA", at positions 44 to 756 of the family's 1533-position model. Lineage: Bacteria; Bacillati; Bacillota; Bacilli; Caryophanales; Fictibacillaceae. The record is from RNAcentral.
GUGCUAUACAUGCAGUCGAGCGAAUGACGAGGAGCUUGCUCCUCUGAUUUAGCGGCGGACGGGUGAGUAACACGUGGGUAAUCUGCCUGUAAGACGGGGAUAACUCCGGGAAACCGGGGCUAAUACCGGAUAAUAAGAAGAAACGCAUGUUUCUUUUUUGAAAGUCGGUUUCGGCUGACACUUACAGAUGAGCCCGCGGCGCAUUAGCUAGUUGGUGAGGUAACGGCUCACCAAGGCGACGAUGCGUAGCCGACCUGAGAGGGUGAUCGGCCACACUGGGACUGAGACACGGCCCAGACUCCUACGGGAGGCAGCAGUAGGGAAUCUUCGGCAAUGGGCGAAAGCCUGACCGAGCAACGCCGCGUGAGCGAUGAAGGCCUUCGGGUCGUAAAGCUCUGUUGUUAGAGAAGAACAAGUACGAGAGUAACUGCUCGUACCUUGACGGUACCUAACCAGAAAGCCACGGCUAACUACGUGCCAGCAGCCGCGGUAAUACGUAGGUGGCAAGCGUUAUCCGGAAUUAUUGGGCGUAAAGCGCGCGCAGGCGGUCUCUUAAGUCUGAUGUGAAAGCCCACGGCUCAACCGUGGAGGGUCAUUGGAAACUGGGAGACUUGAGUGCAGGAGAGAAAAGUGGAAUUCCACGUGUAGCGGUGAAAUGCGUAGAGAUGUGGAGGAACACCAGUGGCGAAGGCGGCUUUUUGGCCUGUAACUGACGCUGAGGCGCGA